Styela clava is the source of this 1274-nucleotide long non-coding RNA. RefSeq lists it as uncharacterized. NCBI's taxonomy places the organism in Eukaryota, Metazoa, Chordata, Ascidiacea, Stolidobranchia, Styelidae. The record is from RefSeq and is a predicted model, not a curated record.
AUAAUUGUGACGUAACAAGGGAAUACCAAGGUAAGAGUUUACUCGGGCAAUUAGAAUUUCUUAUCGAUUGUUAAUCUCUUUUUUUGCAUUCCCAGGAUAAUGAAUACGCGGGACUGCUGGUGAUGAACGCAGAUAGAACCUAUGCAUUUGGGAUUUUAGAAUCAUCCUGUCACAGUAGUUGACGAAGAGGAAUUAGUUGUAUCGAAGAUUCCGAUUAAAGCAGAUGUCAAGGCUACACUUGCAAGCUUGAUCGAUCAAGUUGAGAUGAUGGAAGAAGUGUGCUAUUCAAUUUAUGUGAAAAUUGAAGAGCAACCAAAAAUUUCAGAUAUUAUAAAGUUUUAAGAUUAAAAUAACUUCAUUUAAUUGAAAAUAAUAGGUGACAGAUUAAAAGUCCCGUGUCUGACGUCAUGAAUUUUAUGCUGAAUGAAAUCAGUCAAGAUGAAGAUGAUGAGUCUGGAUAUGUUUUUCCAUUUAGUUGUUCUCUCAUAUGUAUUUUCAAAUGGACCUCACUGAAAUUCAUGAGCUAAAUGGAUUCUGAUAUUCAAAUUUUCUUUUAUAUAGAGCUAAAAAUGACAAUCGAUGACUUUUUUAUCCAUGUUACUCUCAGUACUACGAUAUCACUCAAAAUAGGCAGUUGGGUGGAAUGAUUGGAUUGCUAGUUUCAAAGGAUAUUUCACACUCUUGCUCAUACACACACAAUCAAUCAACUUUCAGUCUGAACGUAACUUCGGAUCAGGGCGUUCGAUUCCUAAAAUUUUCGUGAACUUAUUUUUAAUUAUAAUGAACCAUUACUAGCCUUGUACCUUUCUCAAAUAAUAUUUAUAUUUUGUAAUGCACCAUUGCUAUUCUUAUUGGACACGUAAGUGAACCUAUGGAUCGUUUUGUUAUUAUUGGAUACGUCAGUGGACAUAACGAUCAUUUCAAUAUUAUGUUGUUGUUCUUGUUUUUUUUCUCCUUCGUCAUGAUAAAAUCGCCUUUCUCUUCGAAUACUGGACCAAUUGCUUUGAAAUUUUCGAUGGUCAAAGAUUGAUUUUAUGCCAGAAGGCUAUUAGGCUACUUUUACUUAUUUCAAAAAUUUCUGUGAAUUUCAAGAGAUUCGUUUCUUAUGUGUCAGAAGAAAAAAUAGCGGCACCUUGCGACGUGUUCAUAUAUUUGAGCAUAGCUCUCUUACGUUGUUCUUGUUCCUCGACACGAAAAUUUAUCGUUAUUAAAAAGUCGUUUUUCUCUUUGAUUACUGGACCAAUUGCUUUGAAAUUUUCAGUGGUGAAAGAUUU